This 304-nucleotide ribosomal RNA is filed under the name uncultured bacterium. Its description in RNAcentral is "partial 16S ribosomal RNA". It matches the Rfam family "Bacterial small subunit ribosomal RNA", at positions 506 to 807 of the family's 1533-position model. The record is from RNAcentral.
CAGCAGCAGCCGCGGGAAUACGAGGGGGGCAAGCGUUGUUCGGAUUUAUUGGGCGUAAAGGGUGCGUAGGCGGUUUGGCAAGUCUUGUGUGAAAUCUUCGGGCUCAACCCGAAGCCUGCACGAGAAACUACCGGGCUUGAGUAUUGGAGAGGUGAGUGGAAUUUCCGGUGUAGCGGUGAAAUGCGUAGAUAUCGGAAGGAACACCUGUGGCGAAAGCGGCUCACUGGACAAUAACUGACGCUGAUGCACGAAAGCUAGGGGAGCAAACAGGAUUAGAUACCCGCGUAGUCCCUGUCUCUUAUAC